Molecule: ribosomal RNA, 690 nt
Filed under: Symbiochloris sp. S3
Lineage: Eukaryota; Viridiplantae; Chlorophyta; Trebouxiophyceae; Trebouxiales; Trebouxiaceae
Description: eukaryotic LSU rRNA
Rfam family: 5.8S ribosomal RNA (bases 298-451)
Source: RNAcentral
CAUUGAAUCGAUCGAGAACAAACCCUGGUGACCACCGUUGUCCCCUCCCGUGGAUGGGUGGCCGCUCGUCGCCCUUCGGGUGAUGGGUGGCCGCCGAUCGAGACACGGGCGGCCGAUCGUCGCAUCGGUCUUCGGGCCGGCUCCCGGUCGAGCCCUCCCCUUCGGGCAGAGGGCAGGGGUCAACCCUUUUUGAAGGGGUGGCCCCGAUCGGGAGCGGACCCGGAGAGGCUCUCUUUUCGAACCUCGAAACACGCCCUGAAGCAGGCCGGCACUCGGUGUCGGCACACACAAAGAGACAACUCUCAACAACGGAUAUCUUGGCUCCCGCAACGAUGAAGAACGCAGCGAAAUGCGAUACCUAGUGUGAAUUGCAGAAUUCCGUGAAUCAUCGAGUCUUUGAACGCAUAUCGCGCUCGAGGCCUCGGCCGAGAGCAUGUCUGCCUCAGCGUCUCUCUCAUUCUCCCUUUCCUCCGCUCGCGGCGGAAAGGGGAGCUGGUCGUUCCGAGUCCCGGCCACUCGGAUCGGUCGAAAUGCAGAAGGGCCCUCCCCUCAAAUGUGAAGGGCUUCGAAAGGUGGAUUGCCUCCGGGCGAUGCCGAUCGAGGCCUGGAGGGGUUGAAACUCGCCCUGAAGUUGGAGAUUCAGACUUGUGACCUGAGUUCAGGCAAGAUCACCCGCUGAACUUAAGCAUA